Molecule: long non-coding RNA, 704 nt
Organism: Gavialis gangeticus (Gharial)
Lineage: Eukaryota; Metazoa; Chordata; Crocodylia; Gavialidae
Exons: 2
Source: RefSeq, a predicted model, not a curated record
AAAAGGACAGCAUUCCCCUGAUUGGAAAAGGUCACCAACUUCUUUUAGUGAAUUAUAACUUCUCUGAAUGGGGGAGGUCUUGGUUCUAGUCUGUAAGUCCCAAUGGAACUUAAGCAGGGGGUAGAAUUCAGCCACUCAGCCCCCAUCAGUCAUACCUGGAACAACCUCUCAAGUCACUUCAGUUCUACCUUUUCUAUGGACUGGGACUUGACCUUUUUUAAUAGCCCUUGAGUUCUGUGGUAGGAACCAGUGAGUUUAAAAAUAGUAAAAUGUCUCGAGCCCUAGCCUUUCUAAUAUAGUGAUCCGUCUCUUCUAGGCAGAGCUACCUUCGUUGUCCUGUGCAGUAAGAUUCUAGUGCAGUUGGGUGACCACUUUUGCAGAGAUGACAAGAAGUGGAUGCAUAAGCAAGAUCUUGCCACACAUUUGCACAAUAAAAAGAUGUUCAGCAUGGUUCUGUUUCCUUGUAGAUGUGCAGCUAUAAUGAGAGCCUCUGAAUCCAAUGUCAAGGUGAUGGGAUCAAGCACAGUGUCUCGUGGGCUUCUGCAGCAUAAUGGAUGCAGACAAUAUAGCAGGGGUAAUUCCUAAUGCUUGGAUCAAAUUUGUGCACCUACAUACUUUCUACACUGCAGACUGAUGACUAAAUUAAAUUGUUUUUGUACUUUUUUUAUAUCUCUACUAUUAAACAUCUUUCCUUUUGCAAAGAA